Molecule: small RNA, 625 nt
Filed under: Pongo abelii (Sumatran orangutan)
Lineage: Eukaryota; Metazoa; Chordata; Mammalia; Primates; Hominidae
Description: retained intron
Source: RNAcentral
CUGUGUGCGAGCCCUCUCUGGUACCAUUCAUUAUCAUAACAAGCAGUACAGACCCCAGAAGGGAGGCAUUUGUGUUGCCAACCAUACUUCCCCAAUUGAUGUUUUAAUCUUGACAACGGAUGGAUGUUAUGCUAUGGUUGGCCAGGUUCAUGGCGGCUUGAUGGGAAUUAUUCAGAGAGCUAUGGUCAAGGCUUGUCCUCAUGUCUGGUUUGAACGCUCAGAAAUGAAGGAUCGACACCUGGUUACUAAGAGGUAAGCAGUGAAAUUACUCAGCAUUCACUGGAGUAGCAUAAAAGCUGACCAGUCUCGGCCUUGCUACCAAAGAGGACCGAGCAGCACUGAGUCUCAAAACUAAAACAGAGCUCUGUUUGCUGUUGGAUUUUUCUGGCAAAUCACCUGUCUUAGCCAGAUUUUUAAAAAAUGUAAUUCUGUAGUCAUGGUGGGAUAUAUGAUGGGAUUAGAAGGCCAGUGUAUUUAUAUUGCUGUGACUUAGAUACAGUCCAGUCACUGAAUUUUCACAGAUAAAAAUUACCACCUUUAAAUUAGAUAUGAUCUCAGUUGAGUAUUAGCAGUUAAAAAAAAAUUAAAUAUGUAUACUUUACCUCAAUAAAAAAUAUAUAAAAAA